Molecule: ribosomal RNA, 247 nt
Filed under: uncultured bacterium
Lineage: Bacteria
Description: partial 16S ribosomal RNA
Rfam family: Bacterial small subunit ribosomal RNA
Source: RNAcentral
GAUCCUGGCUCAGGACGAACGCUGGCGGCGUGCUUAACACAUGCAAGUCGAACGAAAAGAGGGAAAGAGCUUGCUCUUUCCGGAAUUGAGUGGCAAACGGGUGAGUAACGCGUAAACAACCUGCCUUCAGGAUGGGGACAACAGACGGAAACGACUGCUAAUACCGAAUAAGUUCCAAGGGUCGCAUGAUCCAUGUAAGAAAAGGUGGCCUCUACCUGUAAGCUAUCGCCUGAAGAGGGGUUUGCGU